GCUGUUCAUCAUGGAGGGGAGAACUCGCCUGAGGGAGCUCAUUCCCAUCACCGCCCUAACUCCAGCCAUCGGUUCUCCUCUCCUUGGCUAGCUCCCGGACGUUUGCUCCCUGCGUCGCUGGCUCGCUGCUUCUCCGGCGGAAGUAGGCGCGCGCUGCGGCUGCGGCCUGCCUAUGUUAUGCACGCCGUUGCCGUGGUGAUCUCAUCUAGUCAUCUAGCCAGCCCGGGCUAACGAUUUGUGGAUACGUGUAAGUAAUCCCCUUCCUCGCUCUCGUACUUGAUUCUUCUUCUCCAUGCCUCACACGCGGACUGUUGAAAGAAUUCCAUGCCAACUAAGUAACUGACCGAACCAUAUCCAUAAUGUGUUUGACGAAAUGCGUACGUGGUUGCUGUGUCACGGCAUCCUUUCAUAUCUGGUGCUCCGACAGCUCUGAAUCUCUGAUGAUGGUCCUAAUUGUAGCUUAAUCGCAAACACCUCUGAUGCCACUGUAGGCACAUCCACACAAGGUGUUCGAUGAUAAUUCUCUGCCGUGAUCAUAGCAAAAACCGUAAACUUCUUACUUAACAGGUUUAACAACAUGAUUCAGAGGAUUAACCCUUGAGGUACAUGCUGUUAGUUCGGUACGAAUGGUUUGCCUGCAUUCAGUCUAAAUAAGACCUGCCAUCUCCAGCAACCUGUUAAGUGUUAAUUCGUACUUUCAGUGUUUCUUUGUUUGAUAACAAAUAUUUUUCCCCAUACUCUCGGUUUGAAAUGCCGCAUGCUGCAAUUUGUUCAGCAAGAGUCCAGAAAAGAUAGCUGAGCUACGCAAAAAGAAUGAAUGUAUUCUAUAUUCCCUUCCGGAAUGGAGUCAAGAAAGAACAUACAUCAGAGUCGUCCUUUCCCCGUUGGUCUCGCCUCUUUCUUGUUCGGUCAUCCUGUGUGCUUGGCUAGUGGAGAUUUGACAACUAAAAUGACGUUUCAUCUGUCAAGAUACCCAAACCACAGAGCCAUUAUCAUCACACUCCAACUGUACAUCAUGAUAGUGAUCUGCACCAUGCUCACUGCUGUUGUAAUGUUGUGCGCUUCUUGCCCAUCAUUUUUCGAGACCGGGAAUGUGGUCGUUUGUCACUGCAUUAACUCGUAAGGUCAUCGUUCUUUUCAACCUGAGACUAAACUAUUUCACUUAGCUCUCUUCAUUUUGUUACCCUAUUACCAAAAACUGUUUGUUCCGUUUAUUAGUUUCAUGCUGCUUAACGAUGCAUCAUGGAAAAAUGAUGAUGGAAUUUAGAGAAGGCAUAUGCUCUAAGGCAAUGUAUCAUUGCUGUUUCUAGUUUUCUACCGAAUGUCAAUGUUUCAGGCUUCUCAAUUUACCUGCAGCACAUAUUUUUUUUCCCAUGGUAGUUUAAUGCCAAUCCAAUUACCAUUUGGUAUCAGCUUCCUAGGUAGGUUACUCGAACACUAAUGCGAUAUCUGGUUUGAUGAAUCACCUAAUCCUGGAUGAAGUGAUCUAUCAUGGGUUCAUCCUAGAAUUUCACUGGGGAUGAUUCCACCCCUCAUGUUUAUACUAGUCAUAUGCAUAUGAGGCAUGAGGUAGAGGUAGUGGUUAAUCAACCCAUAACAUUCUUCGAACCAAACAAAAAUGUGGGAGAGGGUGAAUCACCCCAUUCUUCGAUCAAACCAAACACCCCAUAUCCAUUCCAUCUGCAUUUCUCACAAAAAUGAAAUGUAAGUUCCCUCGCAAAUCCUUUCCUAGGUCAUAGUUGGCAACUCUUGCAGUUCCAGUUUGUGCCUCGCACUGAGCAGUCAAAGCAUGCUGAAGGUUUAUGGCUAGUGAAGCAAGGAUGAGCCUCCAACCAAAGAGGUCACAAACAGUUCUCUGCAAUUAUUGGAUGUACAACUGAUGAUGAUGUUUGAUAAUACUGCUAGAUUUGAAGGGACAGAUUGAUCAAUAGUUGAAGCAUUACAUAUCUGAACUAUCAGGUUUUCUGUUCUUUCAAUUUCCGAUGCAUGGUAUUUUCAAAUAACAGAUUGGUGUAUCAUAUAGUGAAUUCAAAGAGCUCUUAAAUACACCAAAAUGAUCCAGGCAUAUUUUCAUAUGAAUUCAGAGAGUCCAAAUAUUCAGCCCAAUUAUCUGUAGAGUGCAGACUCUUGGUAUCUAAAUAAUCUUUUUUUUUCAAAUCUGCUGAUUUGGUUUGUUUUGGUUUACACUCUAGUGCUCUCUGUGUAGGGAUGGUCGUUCUCAGAUGCCAGCUAGUGACAAUGAAACAAUGCAAAUGCUAUCACUAGCAAGUAAUGGUGAUGCUGGUCCUGUGCCUGACAAACUCAGUACUCAGUGUUUCCUCUUCCUUGUUUGGUCAGUCUCCGCUCCACAACCAAAUAAAUCCUCGCUACUGUGAUGAAUUGUAGCAACAACCUGCACUGCAGCAAGAAAGACAGCAUUAUGGAGUGAGGAUAUCUUCUAGGAGUUCUGAGUGGAAAGAAACCGGAUUCUUGUUAAACUGUAAGCCAAUUGAUACUCUGCAUUCAGAUUCGAUUCCUGUUAUUUUCUUUUUAUUUCCGUUUCUAGGGGAUUUCUUGCUCAAGUAUAUAAUGCAACGUCAAGCAGAUAGCAACACUCAACCGAGUAUCACUUUAGGGAAAGACCGGCACAUCAGUCAUAUCUUGCUCCAUAAAUGUUUAAAUAAAUAUGGCACUCUAUUACAAUGACAGCACCAAACUAUAUGUUGUACAAAUGAACACAUGUAGUGUUGGAUUGUGGAGUAACUUACAGUUGCUCUUGGUAUCAAUCGACCCACCCCUAACUAUUCAUACAAAAAGAAUUAACAGUGUGAUUAAUGGUAAAAGUACUAACUUUUGGAUCCUAUAUGGAGUUUUGCUCAUCUUAUUUAUUUUGAUAACUGUGAACCUUCUUGUAUAUCAGAUUGUUCAUCUUUCAUGUGUACUGGAUGGUGAAGCGUGCCUUUGCCUUGUUGGCUGAGAUCACAGCAUGUUUGAGCUUUGGAUACCAUUGAGCAGAUCAACAUAUCAUCCAUCCAGGUUAAGGAUACUUUCUUUUUAUACUUGGAUCAACAAUUCUCUCUCACUGCUUUCCAACCCAAAGCUUCUUCUGGCAGAUUAGGAUCUUGUCCUUGUCAGUCUUGUUCUCAGGGUUACGCUUCUCACAGCUCCACCUCAUUCCUUUGGCAAUGGCUGCUACAGAGUCCAGGAAGUAGGUGCUCUCCCUGAUUAUUGCAUAACCUGUGGGACGAAGGAUACGGUCCAUCUCAAGAAGUACAAACUUCAUCUCGCACCUGCAAUUAGC
RNAcentral lists this long non-coding RNA (3280 nucleotides) under Setaria italica (foxtail millet). Its description in RNAcentral is "long non-coding RNA (SITA_LNC006959)". The record is from RNAcentral. Lineage: Eukaryota; Viridiplantae; Streptophyta; Magnoliopsida; Poales; Poaceae.